GAAAUGCGAUAAGUAAUGUGAAUUGCAGAAUUCAGUGAAUCAUCGAAUCUUUGAACGCACCUUGCGCUCCUUGGUAUUCCGAGGAGCAUGCCUGUUUGAGUGUCAUUAAAUUCUCAACCUUUACCUUCUUUUUUAAAAGUGGGUAAAUGGCUUGGAUGUGGGGGUUUUGCCGGUUUCUCUUUUGAAAUCAGCUCCCCUGAAAGAUAUUAGCUGGUUGCCUUGUGUAAACCUGUCUAUUGGUGUGAUAAUUAUCUACGCCGUGGAUGGUUUGCCGUUUAUAGCACUGCUUCUAACCGUCUGUUCAUUCAGACAAUUUAUGACAAUUUGACCUCAAAUCAGGUAGGACUACCCGCUGAACUUAA
Molecule: unclassified non-coding RNA, 362 nt
Filed under: uncultured Strophariaceae
Lineage: Eukaryota; Fungi; Basidiomycota; Agaricomycetes; Agaricales; Strophariaceae
Description: sequence contains ITS1
Rfam family: 5.8S ribosomal RNA (bases 1-105)
Source: RNAcentral